CGUCUAUAUACGUAUAGCAUAUCAAUAAGCGGAGGAAAAGAAACUAACAAGGAUUCCCUUAGUAACGGCGAGUGAAGCGGGAAGAGCUCAAAUUUGAAAUCUUCAAGGUUCUACCUUGACGAAUUGUAGUUUAUAGAAGUGUUUUCUGUUAGUAGAGUUGGCUAAAAGUUCUUUGGAAUAGGACAUCAUAGAGGGUGAGAAUCCCGUAUUUGAUCAUUCUUUCUAGCUUUGUGAUACACUUUCAACGAGUCGGAUUGUUUGGGAAUGCAGUCCAAAAUGGGUGGUAAAUUUCAUCUAAAGCUAAAUAUUGGCGAGAGACCGAUAGCGAACAAGUACCGUGAGGGAAAGAUGAAAAGAACUUUGAAAAGAGAGUUAAACAGUACGUGAAAUUGUCAAAAGGGAAGCGUUUGACACCAGUGUUGUUUUUCUCGAAAAUCAAUUAAAAAUGGCCGGAUUUUAGUUGUCAUGACCUUAUAAGCUUUUCUGCACUUUUUUCCUUAUCUUUCUUAAUGCACUUUUCGUUUAACAAGUCAACAUCAAUUUCUUUUGUUGUAAAAGGGUAUGAGGAAGGUGGCUUUCUUUUCGGAGAAAGUGUUUAUAGCCUUGUGCCUCUGCAAUCGGAGAGAUUGAGGUCUGCAGCGUAGAUCCUUCGGGGUUAGAUAGCAUUUGUGCUAAGUUAUAGCUUUCAUAGACAACUUGUUGACUAUGUUUAGUCUUGUAGCUUACUCGCUUAUGCUAUUUUACCUACGCUUAGGAUGUUGACACACGCGCGUGCUCG
Molecule: ribosomal RNA, 778 nt
Filed under: uncultured Neocallimastigales
Lineage: Eukaryota; Fungi; Neocallimastigomycota; Neocallimastigomycetes; Neocallimastigales
Description: partial large subunit ribosomal RNA
Rfam family: Eukaryotic large subunit ribosomal RNA
Source: RNAcentral